This 274-nucleotide ribosomal RNA is filed under the name uncultured bacterium. RNAcentral describes it as "partial 16S ribosomal RNA". It matches the Rfam family "Bacterial small subunit ribosomal RNA", at positions 523 to 796 of the family's 1533-position model. The record is from RNAcentral.
AUACGGAGGGUGCGAACGUUAAUCGGAAUUACUGGGCGUAAAGCGCGCGUAGGCGGUUUGAUAAGUGGGAUGUGAAAGCCCCGGGCUCAACCUGGGAACUGCAUUCCAAACUGUCAGGCUAGAGUAUGGUAGAGGGAGGUAGAAUUUCCUGUGUAGCGGUGAAAUGCGUAGAUAUAGGAAGGAAUACCGGUGGCGAAGGCGGCCUCCUGGACCAAUACUGACGCUGAGGUGCGAAAGCGUGGGGAGCAAACAGGAUUAGAAACCCCAGUAGUCC